GACAGAGCCUGCCGAGAUCCACUGGCCUUCAACCCCUCUCCCGCGCUAGCAAUCUGGGUGCUUCUUUCCUAGUGACCAUGACGGAAACCUGUGUGAUUGGUUUGGGGUCAGUGGAUCUGAAGAAAAGGGGCAAGAUCGCGCGUGCGCCUGUGUGUCUGAGGGGAGCGACCCCGGCUUCCCUGUGUGUUGGAUCGCCCUCUCUUCCAGGGGACCCAGGCGUCCUGCUUUCCAUCGCCAGCAGGAAGAGAUGCUUGCUGGAUUUGCUGCCUCAGAGACCAAAAUAACUUGGCCAGCCAUGGGCACAAUGUCUUGGGUCAGCUCUAUCAGAAGGGGGCUGUGCAUGGAAAAAAUAAUGAUCAAAUUGAGAGUAUCCCAAGAUAUCACCAUGAAAGUAAUUUCUAUGAAACUUGGUAUCUGUUCAUAGUUUAUGUAAAUCAAAAAGAACAUGGUAGAGAGCCUCCACCACAUUACGCUCGAAUUUGGAAAACCUAAAACUGUAUGUGGUCAAUGUAGGAGCCCAGGGCGUCACAAUUAUAUCCAUGUGUCUGGCUCUUUGCAGCAUACAAGACAGCACAGGAUCCACCAAGUAGACGCAUUUUUGUACACGUUAUUUGGCUGGACAACUGCGCUGCAAAAUUCAGAGAAAUGCACACUUUUGAAGGAUGGCUUCAAAAUGGUUUCAGCUCUUGUAUUGUUUCGGACAAAGAAGGGUGUGUGAGCGUGUGUCGAAAGUAGCCUACUGCACAAAGGGAAAAUAUCACAUUUGCUGUUCCAUCUCCUUUGCCUCUGGCCAUGCCCACCACUGGCAUGUGGCCCCUGGAAGGUUGCCCAGAAUGCAAGACUUGUGCUGUUCCACUCCAGAUGGCAAUAUACAGUAACACUACGGGAGCAUCACAGAACAACUAAUAAAGAAGGAUGAUGGACAAGGAUAAAUCCACCACUAAUGCACUAUUAUUGCACAAUACAUAUGAGGGGGACACUCUGGAGGGGCCCUCAGAAUUCUUUUUAAGAAGUCAUGACAGUUUCCAUUCCCUCUAUUUCUGAUGUUCAGGCUUAGAGCGCUGUCACUUAUGUAGCCAUGACAGCAUCACCCAAGCACAAGAGUGAGACAUCAGCAAGCUUGGGGCAAGGUUUACAGAAGUACAACAAAUAUUUUGGGGGGGAAACUUUAAGGGGGAGGCAAUACUGCCAAAACAGUCCAGUGAGGAGGACUGAGCAGUGACUCAAUGCUGAGGAGGGGGGAUGGUAGAAUGGAAUGGCUGGAAUCUUGAACAGCAGUUCUCCGCACUGUAACAUUUUAUUGCAGGUCCCACUUUGACUGCUAUAAAAUUAAUAGACGUUUAUACUGUCGACCCUUUUCAAGGCCCUGAACCUGAACAAAAAUCUAUUCUAGUCUUCCCAAAUAAAUUUUUACUGGGUACAACUUCAAUUAUCUCCAACAUUUCACAGAUGCUAAUACAGGAUACUUAUCCCAAUUUCAUAGCAAGUGUAGCUUUACAAGCCUCACUGCCUCCACUAUUACACAGUGUUGAAGGCUCUUGGCUGGCUGGCUGGUGUAUUCAUUUACUCUCCAAUGUGCCUGUCCUCCACCUCUACUGAUUUAAAAACCAAAAGAGGUUCCUCUAACCUACACUUCUGAUUAAAAUCUACUAGAAAAACAUUUAUCUACAGUCCUUGUGUUCAUAUGCCAUCAUGUUGCCUUUCUGUUCAUGCCUGUGCGCUUGCAUCUGUGUCUGCUAGAGAUGACAGGCACCCACCCACUCAGAGAUUUAGAAUGCAAUCCUAUACCUUCAUUACACUGGGUGACUGAGGAGUUAUAGGACAGGGUGGGAAAGCUUUCAGCCUGAAAGUCACAUUCCCUUCAAGGCAACCUUCCAGAGGGUCACAUGCCUGUUGAGGGCAGGGCUAGAAGAAAGUAGGUGGAACAACAAAUGCUAAUUUUACCUUUGUAUAGUAGGCUAGUUUCUACAUACACUUAAAAACCCCUCUCUAACCUCCAUCCAGCCAAGCAGGUAGCACAACCAGAGCUGAAGGACAAUUCCUAGCCCAGCAAUGUAGGGGGAUGGCCUGGGAAGAGUUCUGAGGUCCAGAUAAAGAGGUCGGGAGGCCUGUGGUUCCCCAUCCCUGCUAUAGGAUAUGGUGGAUGUUCUUCUGGCAUUGCACCAGAGAAGUGGAGCUGUUUCUCUCUCUCUCUGUCUGGAGUAUGGAAUUGCUCCGCCCACUUCUAGAAAUCCCGAAGAGGGAGCUACACCCUACAGCAGGACAAAUAAAGUUUUACUUGCAGGACUGCCUUACCCCAUAUGUGUCUACUCAAGCACUUCAAUCUGCGGAAGAGGAUUUGUUACAGGUGCCACAUAAUAUCCAUUCCACACUUGUAAGAAAUCAUUCUUUUAGCGUGACAGCACCAGCUCUUUGGAACUCCCUGCCUAUUGACAUCUGGCAGAUGCCUUUGCUGUAUUAUUUUUGGAGCCUGAUUAAAAAAAAAUUGUUUAGGCAAGC
Molecule: long non-coding RNA, 2499 nt
Organism: Rhineura floridana
Lineage: Eukaryota; Metazoa; Chordata; Lepidosauria; Squamata; Rhineuridae
Exons: 6
Source: RefSeq, a predicted model, not a curated record